RNAcentral lists this ribosomal RNA (910 nucleotides) under uncultured Bacteroidota bacterium. Its description in RNAcentral is "bacterial SSU rRNA". It matches the Rfam family "Bacterial small subunit ribosomal RNA", at positions 8 to 916 of the family's 1533-position model. The record is from RNAcentral. Lineage: Bacteria; Pseudomonadati; Bacteroidota.
AGAGUUUGAUCCUGGCUCAGGAUGAACGCUAGCGGCAGGCCUAAUACAUGCAAGUCGAGCGGCAAGUUGGGUAGUAAUACUUAACCUAGAGCGGCGCACGGGUGCGUAACGCGUAUGCAACCUACCUUUUACUGGGGGAUAGCCCGGAGAAAUCUGGAUUAAUACCCCAUGGUACCUAUUGGUCGAAUGACUGAUAGUUUAAAGAUUUAUCGGUAAGAGAUGGGCAUGCGUCUGAUUAGCUAGUUGGCGGGGUAACGGCCCACCAAGGCGACGAUCAGUAGGGGUUCUGAGAGGAAGGUCCCCCACACUGGCACUGAGAUACGGGCCAGACUCCUACGGGAGGCAGCAGUAGGGAAUAUUGGGCAAUGGUCGCAAGACUGACCCAGCCAUGCCGCGUGCAGGAAGACGGCCCUCUGGGUUGUAAACUGCUUUUAUCUGGGAAGAAAAAGUCCAUGCGUGGAAAAUUGCCGGUACCAGAUGAAUAAGCACCGGCUAACUCCGUGCCAGCAGCCGCGGUAAUACGGAGGGUGCAAGCGUUGUCCGGAUUUAUUGGGUUUAAAGGGUGCGUAGGCGGCUGAAUAAGUCAGCGGUGAAAGACUUCGGCUUAACCGGAGCAGUGCCGUUGAUACUGUUUAGCUUGAGUGUUGGAGGGGUACAUGGAAUUGAUGGUGUAGCGGUGAAAUGCAUAGAUACCAUCAGGAACACCGAUAGCGAAGGCAUUGUACUGGCCAACAACUGACGCUGAGGCACGAAAGUGUGGGGAUCGAACAGGAUUAGAUACCCUGGUAGUCCACACUGUAAACGAUGAUUACUCGCUGUUAUGGUGUAUGCUGUAGCGGCCAAGCGAAAGCGUUAAGUAAUCCACCUGGGGGAGUACGCCGGCAACGGUGAAACUCAAAGGAAUUGACGG